RNAcentral lists this ribosomal RNA (460 nucleotides) under uncultured bacterium. RNAcentral describes it as "partial 16S ribosomal RNA". It matches the Rfam family "Bacterial small subunit ribosomal RNA", at positions 338 to 795 of the family's 1533-position model. The record is from RNAcentral.
CCUACGGGUGGCAGCAGUGAGGAAUAUUGGUCAAUGGACGAGAGUCUGAACCAGCCAAGUAGCGUGAAGGAUGACUGCCCUAUGGGUUGUAAACUUCUUUUAUAAAGGAAUAAAACGAGGCACGUGUGCCUUUUUGCAUGUACUUUAUGAAUAAGGAUCGGCUAACUCCGUGCCAGCAGCCGCGGUAAUACGGAGGAACCGAGCGUUAUCCGGAUUUAUUGGGUUUAAAGGGAGCGUAGAUGGGUUGUUAAGUCAGUUGUGAAAGUUUGCGGCUCAACCGUAAAAUUGCAAGUGAUACUGGCAGUCGUGAGUACAGUUGAGGUAAGCGGAAUUCGUGGUGUAGCGGUGAAAUGCUUAGAUAUCACGAAGAACCCCGAUUGCGAAGGCAGCUUACUAAACUGUGACUGACAUUGAUGCUCGAAAGUGUGGGUAUCAAACAGGAUUAGAUACCCGUGUAGUC